RNAcentral lists this ribosomal RNA (818 nucleotides) under marine metagenome. RNAcentral describes it as "bacterial SSU rRNA". It matches the Rfam family "Bacterial small subunit ribosomal RNA", at positions 314 to 1153 of the family's 1533-position model. The record is from RNAcentral.
UGGGACUGAGACACGGCCCAGACUCUACGGGAGGCAGCAGUAGGGAAUAUUGGACAAUGGGGGCAACCCUGAUCCAGCAAUGCAGCGUGAGUGACGAAGGCCUUAGGGUUGUAAAACUCUUUCAUCGGUGAGGAUAAUGACAGUAGCCGAAGAAGAAGGACCGGCUAAUUCCGUGCCAGCAGCCGCGGUAAUACGGAAGGUCCUAGCGUUGUUCGGAAUUACUGGGCGUAAAGCGCAUGUAGGCGGAACAGAAAGUUAGAAGUGAAAUCCCUGGGCUCAACCUAGGAAUUGCUUUUAAAACUUCUGUUCUGGAAUUCAGGAGAGGAAAAUGGAAUUUCCAGUGUAGAGGUGAAAUUCGUAGAUAUUGGAAGGAACACCAGUGGCGAAGGCGAUUUUCUGGACUGAUAUUGACGCUGAGAUGCGAAGGCAUGGGUAGCAAACGGGAUUAGAUACCCCGGUAGUCCAUGCAGUAAACGAUGGGUGCUAGUCGUCGGACUUUUGUUCGGUGUCGUAGCUAACGCGUUAAGCACCCCGCCUGGGGAGUACGGUCGCAAGAUUAAAACUCAAAUAAAUUGACGGGGACCCGCACAAGCAGUGGAGCAUGUGGUUUAAUUCGACGCAACGCGAAGAACCUUACCAGCGUUUGACAUGGAAAGUGCCGGUUACAGAAUGGUAACCUUCAGUUCGGCUGGCUUUCGCACAGGUGCUGCAUGGCUGUCGUCAGCUCGUGUCGUGAGAUGUUGGGUUAAGUCCCGCAACGAGCGCAACCCUUAUCGUUAGUUACUAACAGUUCGGCUGAGGACUCUAGCGAAACUGCC